GUUAACGUAGCAUAAUCCGGCUCUGCAAAAGAUCUAAGCCCUUUUAAUAGAGGUUCAAAUCCUCUCGUUAACU
Molecule: transfer RNA, 73 nt
Filed under: Boana rufitela (Canal Zone treefrog)
Lineage: Eukaryota; Metazoa; Chordata; Amphibia; Anura; Hylidae
Description: Hypsiboas rufitelus (Canal Zone treefrog) tRNA-Leu
Rfam family: tRNA
About the family: Transfer RNA (tRNA) molecules are approximately 80 nucleotides in length.
Source: RNAcentral